Hibiscus syriacus is the source of this 147-nucleotide long non-coding RNA. RefSeq lists it as uncharacterized. The record is from RefSeq and is a predicted model, not a curated record. The transcript is spliced from 3 exons. NCBI's taxonomy places the organism in Eukaryota, Viridiplantae, Streptophyta, Magnoliopsida, Malvales, Malvaceae.
CAGUUGUAAUCAGUAUGGUAUGGUCCUUUUACCAUUAAUAUUUCUACUUCUUCAGCUCGCAAUGGCGUCUGAAGAGCAAUGUACUGCACACGAAACAAUCACUGUGAUUUUAAACAAUCAUCCUAAAAGGAAAACAAUGAUCAAAAC